This 468-nucleotide ribosomal RNA is filed under the name uncultured bacterium. RNAcentral's name for it is "partial 16S ribosomal RNA". It matches the Rfam family "Bacterial small subunit ribosomal RNA", at positions 28 to 507 of the family's 1533-position model. The record is from RNAcentral.
GACGAACGCUGGCGGCGUGCUUAACACAUGCAAGUCGAACGGAAAGGCCCUGCUUUUGUGGGGUGCUCGAGUGGCGAACGGGUGAGUAACACGUGAGUAACCUGCCCUUGACUUUGGGAUAACUUCAGGAAACUGGGGCUAAUACCGGAUAGGAGCUCCUGCUGCAUGGUGGGGGUUGGAAAGUUUCGGCGGUUGGGGAUGGACUCGCGGCUUAUCAGCUUGUUGGUGGGGUAGUGGCUUACCAAGGCUUUGACGGGUAGCCGGCCUGAGAGGGUGACCGGACACAUUGGGACUGAGAUACGGCCCAGCCUACUACGGGAGGCAGCAGUGGGGAAUAUUGCACAAUGGGCGGAAGCCUGAUGCAGCAAAGCCGCGUGCGGGAUGACGGCAUUCGGGUUGUAAACCGAUUUCGCCUGUGACGAAGCGUGAGUGACGGUAAUGGGUAAAGAAGCACCGGCUAACUACGUG